GAUCAUGGCUCAGGAUGAACGCUAGCGACAGGCUUAACACAUGCAAGUCGAGGGGCAGCAUGAACUUAGCUUGCUAAGUUUGAUGGCGACCGGCGCACGGGUGAGUAACGCGUAUGCAACUUGCCUAUCAGAGGAGAAUAGCUAAUCGAACGAUGAAUUAAUGCUCCAUGAAACAGGGGUCCCGCAUGGGAAUAUUUGUUAAAGAUUCAUCGCUGAUAG
Molecule: ribosomal RNA, 219 nt
Filed under: uncultured bacterium
Lineage: Bacteria
Description: partial 16S ribosomal RNA
Rfam family: Bacterial small subunit ribosomal RNA
Source: RNAcentral